RNAcentral lists this ribosomal RNA (472 nucleotides) under uncultured bacterium. RNAcentral's name for it is "bacterial SSU rRNA". It matches the Rfam family "Bacterial small subunit ribosomal RNA", at positions 355 to 826 of the family's 1533-position model. The record is from RNAcentral.
UCGCGAAUCAUUCACAAUGGACGCAAGUCUGAUGAUGCCACGCCGCGUGCGGGAUGAAGGCCCUUUGGGUUGUAAACCGCUGUCAAGGGAGGGGAAACACCUAGUGUUAACAGCGCUAGGCUUGACUGCUCCCUAAAGGAAGCCCCGGCAAAACAUGUGCCAGCAGCCGCGGUAAUACAUGUGGGGCAAGCGUUGUUCGGAAUUACUGGGCAUAAAGGGUGCGUAGGCGGUUUGUUAAGUCACUGGUGAAAGUUUGCGGCCCAACCGUAAAAUUGCCUGUGAUACUGGCGAACUUGAGUGCGUGAGGGGUAGGGGGAACGAGCAGUGUAGCGGUGAAAUGCGUAGAUAUCGGAAGGAAUACCGGUGGCGAAGGCGUCUUCCUGGACUCUAACUGACACUGAGGCGCGAAAGCAUGGGGAUCAAACAGGAUUAGAUACCCGUGUAGUCCCUGAGCGGGCUGGCAAGGCGCGAU